RNAcentral lists this long non-coding RNA (285 nucleotides) under Mytilus galloprovincialis (Mediterranean mussel). The record is from RNAcentral. Lineage: Eukaryota; Metazoa; Mollusca; Bivalvia; Mytilida; Mytilidae.
CUAAACUUUUUUGUAAAAUGUAAAAUAAAAUAACACCUUUCCUGGAAACCUGGUAAAUGAAACUUCUUGUUUAAUCAUCCCUCCAUGUCUGGUACAUCAAUAUAAAACCAUUUUAUUCACAAAGUAUCAAGAACUAACCUGGGUGGGAUAACUAACAUGAUACUUCCUAAAUAGGUUGUCUGGAAGAUGUGUGAAUGAAUGAAUGAAUGAACGAGAUAAUAAUAGAGAGCAGAGAGACAGAUAUCUUAAGGGUAUUGUGUACUGUUCUGUGGAGGGACGUUAUUU